Molecule: long non-coding RNA, 2259 nt
Organism: Magallana angulata
Lineage: Eukaryota; Metazoa; Mollusca; Bivalvia; Ostreida; Ostreidae
Exons: 3
Source: RefSeq, a predicted model, not a curated record
AACAUACAAAGCAAUUCAUUUGAAAAACUUAUUCAUAAUACUUUGUAAAUACUAUUUAACAAGAACGUAUAAUAGUGUGGGUAUAAGUCUGUAAACUAUAUAUAUGACUUAAAAUGCAAGAUCUAUUUGUAAAACGAAGGCGAAAAAACUCGAUAGUCUCAUGUUCACAACAUGGCACUUCGCCCAGAAGCUCUGUUGUAAGAAUCUGAAUGUUCACUAUUGAAGGCAAGAUGAACCUGGAUAUGAACGGCGAAAAAUCAUGCGGCACCUCUCCUCGGCUAGUUUUAAGUAUUUCUUCCUCGUGCAAAAACAACAUGAAAAUUUCCAUCCGAUGUAUGACCAAAGAAUUGCGAAGAAAGAAAAAUUUGAAGCGAUAUAAUCAACCAACCUGAAACCAUGUUCAUGUACCUAAUGAGUGUCAUCGCCCAACAGUAAUGAAGCAUAGAGGUCAGACGACGGGACAUCGUGAUGGAAACAGCAACUAACCUGAUAUCCAAACACACAUCAAUCCAUGAUUUGACAAGGUAAUGUCACUCAAGUUACAUCGGGAUCGAAAAUUUAGCACUGUAAUGAUGACCAGGCAUGCAUUAAAUUCUCUUAAUCAAGCAUGCUGUCUCUUCAAUGUUUCUGUAAUGAACUGAUCCAGGAACUAUGGAAACCUCAUUAGGGAGAAUAUCAGGAUUGAUGGGAAGAGGAAAAAUUCCAUAUAAUGGACCUGUACCUUUUUAAUUAAAUGCAUCAAAACAAUGAGUUUUUGUUUUUAUUGCACCUAACGUGUAUUUUCACUCAUAUAAAUAACAGGCUUGAUUAAUGUCACCUCGGUUUUUUUUUAUUUGUUAACUAUAUGUUUCAUAACAUGAUUUUCAUUUAUAUCUAGCAUUUGUUUGAACAUAAAACGUUUGCUCACGACUUCAUGCUGAUCUAUAACUUAGUUAUGGACAGCAUUCGUACUAACCACCUGCUCACAAAACUUUCAGUAAAUCAAGAUGGCCACCCAAGCGACCCUUUGUAAUUUUAUUUAUAAUCCGAGGAAGUUACUUAUGGCUUUAAUAAUAUGAUAUUUAAUGAGUUUUUUCAUAUCAGGAUGCUAAAGAGUUUGUAGAUUAUUCAAAAACUACCCCUCUGUUCCAUUAAAUAAAUUUUUGAUGAAGAGAUACAAUCUUUGUGAGCGUUAUCUCUCUUUUCACAGACACAUUGUGCCUUAAGCAGUCGAAGUUACUUCCCUUAUCAAGUGAUAUGUGUACCGUAAAGUUUUUAGACCCGAACAGAAAGUCAGAAACCAGGCAGUGAUACUGUUAUCUCUUUAUACAGAUUAUAAUUUAAUAAUGUUUGAUUUCUUUUGUUCCGGAAAUACAUGUCUGACAUUCUGCAAUACCGUUUCCCCCUUAAUGUCGCACUAUCUCAUGAUCAGUUUUGUCAAUUUGAUUUUUGUGUUGUUUUUGGAGAACUGCAUCUAAUUUUACUUAACAACCAAUCUUGCCUUACAGCUAACAUGCAUGCAGAUUGUACUUCUUUUUCAUUACAAAAGAGGUUAAAUAUGAUCAAAUAAUUCUGUUUGAUUCAGAUUAUCAGAUAGGCCGGUUUUCGAUGCAGUGUCUGCGGUUUUAGUAAAAAGCAAUAUCGUUUACUUAAACGGUUUCCUACUAUUUAGGUUUUCGUUCGGAUCUUGAAAGAGAACGUCGUAUCUGACACAUUAUUUCGCUUUUUAUUGAAUUUUUUAUUGUGUUGCAGAAAAAAACCAUAACACGUCAAGUUUAACAAGUUUCCAACGGCAUCAAUUGUUACGAAAUGAAACGAAUUCAUCUUUUUUGAAAACCAAUAAAAAAAAACAAAAUAAUAAAAACAGAAUGAUUGACCUUUAAACAACAAAGUAAUAAUCACCAAAACACAACUUUUAGCACCAUAAUAAUGCUACAGCUUACAUGUAUACAUGGUAUUAUAUCACAUACAGUAGUUUAACUGAAGAUAUAUGUCUCCAGUUUCAGUUUUAUGGGAUCUACUUUCAAGUAGGGCACUACUAACAAAGUUAAAGCAAGGCCGUGUUAAAGAGUCUCUGGGGAUAAGUGAUACCAGCUUUACAUAUAAAUGUUACAAAAUAGUACAUCGUGGUACGGUUGCCAUAGAAUCGUUCGUCUGUAUGUUUGAUUAUCAGUGCUGCUCUCUUUGAUACUUUAAAUGAUGCCAAUCUAGAGUAUAAAAUAUAUAUUUUUUUUAAACAAAGUGAAAUAUUGACAAAGUGAUAGAGAAAAAAACAACAAA